UCCCUGGUGGUCUGGUAGUUAAGACUCCACACUUUCAAUGCUGGGGCCAUGGGUUCGAUCCCUAGUCAGGGAA
Molecule: transfer RNA, 73 nt
Filed under: Ovis aries (sheep)
Lineage: Eukaryota; Metazoa; Chordata; Mammalia; Artiodactyla; Bovidae
Rfam family: tRNA
About the family: Transfer RNA (tRNA) molecules are approximately 80 nucleotides in length. Their secondary structure includes four short double-helical elements and three loops (D, anti-codon, and T loops).
Source: Rfam by way of RNAcentral